AAGGUCUGGGGGUGUCCAGCUUAUGUCAAGCAUUUAAAGACAGAUAAGCUUGUACCUAAAUUCGAUAAAUACUUAUUUGUAGGGUACCUAAAGAAAACUAAAAGGUACUACUUCUCCUUAUUGUAGAGCAAAAGAUGUUUGUCAGCAGUCGGACAGUCUUUUUGAAAAAGAAGUUCCUUAGUGAAGAAGCUAAUGUCUGUAAAAUUAAACUUGAUGAAAUUCAU
Molecule: long non-coding RNA, 224 nt
Filed under: Elaeis guineensis (African oil palm)
Lineage: Eukaryota; Viridiplantae; Streptophyta; Magnoliopsida; Arecales; Arecaceae
Description: long non-coding RNA (EGUI_LNC005995)
Source: RNAcentral